This 429-nucleotide ribosomal RNA is filed under the name Chloroflexota bacterium. RNAcentral's name for it is "Chloroflexi bacterium partial 16S ribosomal RNA". It matches the Rfam family "Bacterial small subunit ribosomal RNA", at positions 355 to 776 of the family's 1533-position model. The record is from RNAcentral. Lineage: Bacteria; Bacillati; Chloroflexota.
UGGGGAAUAUUGCACAAUGGGCGCAAGCCUGAUGCAGCCAUGCCGCGUGUAUGAAGAAGGCCUUCGGGUUGUAAAGUACUUUCAGUGGGGAGGAAGGGAGUAAAGUUAAUACCUUUGCUCAUUGACGUUACCCGCAGAAGAAGCACCGGCUAACUCCGUGCCAGCAGCCGCGGUAAUACGGAGGGUGCAAGCGUUAAUCGGAAUUACUGGGCGUAAAGCGCACGCAGGCGGUUUGUUAAGUCAGAUGUGAAAUCCCCGGGCUCAACCUGGGAACUGCAUCUGAUACUGGCAAGCUUGAGUCUCGUAGAGGGGGGUAGAAUUCCAGGUGUAGGGGUGAAAUGCGUAGAGAUAUGGAGGAAUACCGGUGGCGAAGGCGGCCCCCUGGACGAAGACUGACGCUCAGGUGCGAAAGCGUGGGGAGCAAACAGG